This 85-nucleotide transfer RNA is filed under the name Armatimonadota bacterium. RNAcentral's name for it is "Armatimonadetes bacterium (groundwater metagenome) tRNA-Leu". It matches the Rfam family "tRNA". From Rfam's summary of the family: Transfer RNA (tRNA) molecules are approximately 80 nucleotides in length. Their secondary structure includes four short double-helical elements and three loops (D, anti-codon, and T loops). Further hydrogen bonds mediate the characteristic L-shaped molecular structure. tRNAs have two regions of fundamental functional importance: the anti-codon, which is responsible for specific mRNA codon recognition, and the 3' end, to which the tRNAs corresponding amino acid is attached (by aminoacyl-tRNA synthetases). tRNAs cope with the degeneracy of the genetic code in two manners: having more than one tRNA (with a specific anti-codon) for a particular amino acid; and 'wobble' base-pairing, i.e. permitting non-standard base-pairing at the 3rd anti-codon position. The record is from RNAcentral. Lineage: Bacteria; Bacillati; Armatimonadota.
GGGCGAGUGGCGAAAUUGGCAGACGCGCUAGACUUAGGAUCUAGUGGAGCGAUCCGUGGGGGUUCGAGUCCCUUCUCGCCCACCA